RNAcentral lists this ribosomal RNA (2681 nucleotides) under Bacillus anthracis (anthrax bacterium). RNAcentral's name for it is "bacterial LSU rRNA". It matches the Rfam family "Bacterial large subunit ribosomal RNA". Lineage: Bacteria; Bacillati; Bacillota; Bacilli; Caryophanales; Bacillaceae. The record is from RNAcentral.
AGGGCGCACGGUGGAUGCCUUGACACUAGGAGUCGAUGAAGGACGGGACUAACGCCGAUAUGCUUCGGGGAGCUGUAAGUAAGCUUUGAUCCGAAGAUUUCCGAAUGGGGAAACCCACCAUACGUAAUGGUAUGGUAUCCUUAUCUGAAUACAUAGGGUAAGGAAGACAGACCCAGGGAACUGAAACAUCUAAGUACCUGGAGGAAGAGAAAGCAAAUGCGAUUUCCUGAGUAGCGGCGAGCGAAACGGAACAUAGCCCAAACCAAGAGGCUUGCCUCUUGGGGUUGUAGGACAUUCUAUACGGAGUUACAAAGGAACGAGGUAGACGAAGCGACCUGGAAAGGUCCGUCGUAGAGGGUAACAACCCCGUAGUCGAAACUUCGUUCUCUCUUGAAUGUAUCCUGAGUACGGCGGAACACGUGAAAUUCCGUCGGAAUCUGGGAGGACCAUCUCCCAAGGCUAAAUACUCCCUAGUGAUCGAUAGUGAACCAGUACCGUGAGGGAAAGGUGAAAAGCACCCCGGAAGGGGAGUGAAAGAGAUCCUGAAACCGUGUGCCUACAAAUAGUCAGAGCCCGUUAACGGGUGAUGGCGUGCCUUUUGUAGAAUGAACCGGCGAGUUACGAUCCCGUGCGAGGUUAAGCUGAAGAGGCGGAGCCGCAGCGAAAGCGAGUCUGAAUAGGGCGUUUGUACGUGGUCGUAGACCCGGGUGAUCUACCCAGUCCAGGGUGAAGUUCAGGUAACACUGAAUGGAGGCCCGAACCCACGCACGUUGAAAAGUGCGGGGAUGAGGUGUGGGUAGCGGAGAAAUUCCAAUCGAACCUGGAGAUAGCUGGUUCUCCCCGAAAUAGCUUUAGGGCUAGCCUUAAGUGUAAGAGUCUUGGAGGUAGAGCACUGAUUGGACUAGGGGUCCUCAUCGGAUUACCGAAUUCAGUCAAACUCCGAAUGCCAAUGACUUAUCCUUAGGAGUCAGACUGCGAGUGAUAAGAUCCGUAGUCAAAAGGGAAACAGCCCAGACCGCCAGCUAAGGUCCCAAAGUGUGUAUUAAGUGGAAAAGGAUGUGGAGUUGCUUAGACAACUAGGAUGUUGGCUUAGAAGCAGCCACCAUUUAAAGAGUGCGUAAUAGCUCACUAGUCGAGUGACUCUGCGCCGAAAAUGUACCGGGGCUAAAUACACCACCGAAGCUGCGGAUUGAUACCAAUGGUAUCAGUGGUAGGGGAGCGUUCUAAGGACAGUGAAGUCAGACCGGAAGGACUGGUGGAGUGCUUAGAAGUGAGAAUGCCGGUAUGAGUAGCGAAAGACGGGUGAGAAUCCCGUCGCGAUGGACAACAGGUUGAUAUUCCUGUACCACCUCUUUAUCGUUUGAGCAAUGGAGGGACGCAGAAGGAUGUGCUGCGGCAAAUCCGCUUAUCGUGAAGGCUGAGCUGUGAUGGGGAAGCUCCUUAUGGAGCGAAGUCUUUGAUUCCCCGCUGCCAAGAAAAGCUUCUAGCGAGAUAAAAGGUGCCUGUACCGCAAACCGACACAGGUAGGCGAGGAGAGAAUCCUAAGGUGUGCGAGAGAACUCUGGUUAAGGAACUCGGCAAAAUGACCCCGUAACUUCGGGAGAAGGGGUGCUUUCUUAACGGAAAGCCGCAGUGAAUAGGCCCAAGCGACUGUUUAGCAAAAACACAGCUCUCUGCGAAGCCGUAAGGCGAAGUAUAGGGGGUGACACCUGCCCGGUGCUGGAAGGUUAAGGAGAGGGGUUAGCGUAAGCGAAGCUCUGAACUGAAGCCCCAGUAAACGGCGGCCGUAACUAUAACGGUCCUAAGGUAGCGAAAUUCCUUGUCGGGUAAGUUCCGACCCGCACGAAAGGUGUAACGAUUUGGGCACUGUCUCAACCAGAGACUCGGUGAAAUUAUAGUACCUGUGAAGAUGCAGGUUACCCGCGACAGGACGGAAAGACCCCGUGGAGCUUUACUGUAGCCUGAUAUUGAAUUUUGGUACAGUUUGUACAGGAUAGGCGGGAGCCUUUGAAACCGGAGCGCUAGCUUCGGUGGAGGCGCUGGUGGGAUACCGCCCUGACUGUAUUGAAAUUCUAACCUACGGGUCUUAUCGACCCGGGAGACAGUGUCAGGUGGGCAGUUUGACUGGGGCGGUCGCCUCCUAAAGUGUAACGGAGGCGCCCAAAGGUUCCCUCAGAAUGGUUGGAAAUCAUUCGUAGAGUGCAAAGGCAUAAGGGAGCUUGACUGCGAGACCUACAAGUCGAGCAGGGACGAAAGUCGGGCUUAGUGAUCCGGUGGUUCCGCAUGGAAGGGCCAUCGCUCAACGGAUAAAAGCUACCCCGGGGAUAACAGGCUUAUCUCCCCCAAGAGUCCACAUCGACGGGGAGGUUUGGCACCUCGAUGUCGGCUCAUCGCAUCCUGGGGCUGUAGUCGGUCCCAAGGGUUGGGCUGUUCGCCCAUUAAAGCGGUACGCGAGCUGGGUUCAGAACGUCGUGAGACAGUUCGGUCCCUAUCCGUCGUGGGCGUAGGAAAUUUGAGAGGAGCUGUCCUUAGUACGAGAGGACCGGGAUGGACGCACCGCUGGUGUACCAGUUGUUCUGCCAAGGGCAUAGCUGGGUAGCUAUGUGCGGAAGGGAUAAGUGCUGAAAGCAUCUAAGCAUGAAGCCCCCCUCAAGAUGAGAUUUCCCAUAGCGUAAGCUAGU